AGCUGUGCACAGUGGUAGUCUUGUAGCCAAGGAGGUUUAUCUGAAGUGCAAUUACUUUUAAUUGAAAACUUCUCCCAAUACUCUGCCAUGACUAUUUGAAAUAAAGUUGGCAUUGGCAAACUUUGAUAGUCUCUAUGGAGA
This is a small nuclear RNA of Otolemur garnettii (small-eared galago), 141 nucleotides long. Its record names the gene U4. It matches the Rfam family "U4 spliceosomal RNA". From Rfam's summary of the family: U4 small nuclear RNA (U4 snRNA) is a component of the major U2-dependent spliceosome. The structure of U4 snRNA from yeast and human has been reported. The record is from Ensembl. Lineage: Eukaryota; Metazoa; Chordata; Mammalia; Primates; Galagidae.